AGGGAGGCAAAAAAUGAAACCUCUUAUGGUGGCCGUGGAGGUGGCCGAGGUGGUGGACGAGGAUAUGGACGUGGGCGGGGUGGUGGCAGUGGCUUUGGUCGUGAUUUUUCCAAUGACGAGAACUCAUCUGCCCCUGCUAACCAAGGAUCUUUUGAAGGGGAGGCUGGGAAUCCCUCAGAAAGGCGUGGUUAUGGUGCACCACGCGGGCCUUAUCGUGGCAGUGGUCGUGGUCGUCGUGGAGGUUUUAGCAAUGGUGAAGCUGGUGAUGAUGGACGCCCAAGAAGAGCCUUUGAACGCCACAGUGGGACUGGACGAGGGUAACACUAUAAUGCAUAAAUAACUAAUAUUUGAUUAUUUUAGUUCUGUUUCUCUCUUUCUCUCUAUCUCCACAUAUAUAAUGUUAUCAAUUGAUCUAAUUGCAGAAAUGAAUUCAAACGGGAUGGGGCUGGACGUGGAAACUGGGGUACCCAAUCUGAUGAAAUUGCUCAGUAAGCAGUGUUAAUAGGAAUGAAGAUCUGAUAAGAAAUUCUUCAAAAGAAUCUAUAUAUAUCCAAUUGAACGUUUUUGGUGAUUUCUUUCUUUUGAUAUUAAAUGUGGUAGGGUCACUGAGGAAGUGCCGGAUGAAACGGAAAAGAAUUUUGGUGAUGAGAAGCCUGUAGGUGAGGAAGAUGCUGCAGAUGGAAACAAGGACAGUCCUGCUAAUGAAAAUGAAGAGAAGGAACCAGAGGACAAGGUAAAUAAUCAGUUCCAUUAAAGCUUCCCCAAUUUAUUUUGAUUGUCUUGCUGCAAAGUCUAGGUUUUCUGCAGUUCAUGAUCAGGAGACACAGAAUGUCUUAUGAGUGAGUGUAGGUCAGGCAAAUUAUGCUAUGGUUCUGUAUUGUGCAUCUCACUGUCACUGCAAUCAAAUUAAACUUUGAUUACAUUCUUUUCCAUGCUUGUAUGCAUUAUGCUUUAAGUUGGUUAUAUUCUU
RNAcentral lists this long non-coding RNA (970 nucleotides) under Vigna radiata. RNAcentral describes it as "long non-coding RNA (VRAD_LNC009594)". The record is from RNAcentral. Lineage: Eukaryota; Viridiplantae; Streptophyta; Magnoliopsida; Fabales; Fabaceae.